RNAcentral lists this ribosomal RNA (443 nucleotides) under uncultured bacterium. RNAcentral's name for it is "partial 16S ribosomal RNA". It matches the Rfam family "Bacterial small subunit ribosomal RNA", at positions 338 to 795 of the family's 1533-position model. The record is from RNAcentral.
CCUACGGGUGGCAGCAGUGGGGAAUAUUGGGCAAUGGGCGCAAGCCUGACCCAGCAACGCCGCGUGAAGGAAGAAGGCUUUCGGGUUGUAAACUUCUUUUCUGCGGGACGAAGAAAGUGACGGUACCCCCGGAAUAAGCCUCGGCUAACUACGUGCCAGCAGCCGCGGUAAUACGUAGGUGGCAAGCGUUCUCCGGAUUUAUUGGGUGUAAAGGGCGUGUAGGCGGGAAAGCAAGUCAGAUGUGAAAACUCAGGGCUCAACCCUGGGCCUGCAUUUGAAACUGUUUUUCGUGAGUGCUGGAGAGGCAAUCGGAAUUCCGGGUGUAGCGGUGAAAUGCGUAGAUAUACGGAGGAACACCAGUGGCGAAGGCGGAUUGCUGGACAGUAACUGACGCUGAGGCGCGAAAGCGUGGGGAGCAAACAGGAUUAGAUACCCUGGUAGUC